CCCUGGUUCAUCUUGAUGGUAGUCAUAUAUGCUUGUCUCAAAGAUUAAGUUGUGCUAAUGAAAGGAUAUAUGCAUAUUUUUAUAUGCAGAAAGUGCUAACAUUUCAUUAAAACUGUUAUAAAUCUACUUGGCUUUUUCUUUAUAGGGAUAACUACGGAGAAGCUGUAGCUAAUAUUUGCUAUAGUACUCUUGAUUAACUGCUUGGGUGCGUAUUUGUCAAGUCUUUUAAGAAGAAAGUUUUAAUAGCUUUAUGAAUGAUAACAACGAAGCGUGAGACAUAAACAGAUUCGUCCAUUUUUUAGUGUGUAUCAAUCGAGUUUCUGACCUAUCAGCUGUUGAUGUUAGGGUAUUGGCCUAACAUGGCUAUAACGGGUAACGUGAAAUUAGAGUUCGAAACCGGAGAGGGAGGCUGGGAAAUAGUUACCACAUCUAAGGAAGGCAGCAGGCGCGUAAAUUACCCAAUUCUAAAGAAGAGAGGUAGUGACAAGAAAUAACAAUACAAGGCCAAUCUGCUUUGUAGUUAGAAUGAUGGGAAUUUAAAACCUUCCCAAAACUCAAUUGGAGGGCAACUCUGGUGCCAGCAGUCGAGGUAAUUCCAUCUCCAAUAGCGUAUAUUAAAAUUGUUGCAGUUAAAAGGCUUGUAGUUGAAUUUCAAAGAAUCGAUAUCUUAAGUAACGCUUUUUAGCUUAAUCCACAUAACUCAUACUUGGUAUCGACUUUGUGCGCAUUUUGUUAAUUACUUGCUCUUUUAAUUAAAAGGAUUCUUUUUAAGAUCUUUCUUUUUUGCUUCGGCAUUUUAGGAGAUCUUGUUACUUUGAGUAAAUUAGAGUGUUCAAAGCAAACAGAUUAUAGCAUCUUUAUGCGUCUGAAUACUAAAGCAUGGAAUAAAAAAAUUGAAGAAACCAGAAUUUUUGUUAUUUUUUUUCCUAUUUUGGCUUAGUUACGAUUAAUAGGCCUAACUUGGGGGAAUUCGUACUCAGAUGCCAAAGGUGAAAUUCUAAGAUUUUCUGGAGACAAACAACUGCGAAAGUAUUUGCCUAAAAUACUUCCAUUAAUCAAGAAAGAAAGUUAAGGGAGUGAAGAUGAUCAGAUAUCGUCGUAAUCUUAACCAUAAACUAUGCCGACUAGGCUUUGGAUGAAAGAUUUUAAAAUUAGAGUUUUUUCUCUGAGAAGUUAAAACUCUUAGAUUUGCUUCCGUCAGUGUCUUAUGAAAAAUCAAAGUCUUUGGGUUCUGGGGCGAGUAUUCGCGCAAGCGAGAAAGUUAAAAGAAUUGACGGAAGGGCACCACCAGGCGUGGAGCUUGCGGCUUAAUUUGACCCAACACGGGAAAACUCACUAGUUUAAGACAAGAGUAGGAUUGACAGAUUAAUAGCUCUUUCUUGAUUUCUUGGAUGGUGAUGCAUGGCCGUUUUUAGUUCGUGAAUAUGAUUUGUCUGGUUAAUUUCGAUAGCGAACGAGAUCGUAACCUGCUAAUUUUCGCCAAAUACGACAUAUUCUUAUGCAGGAUUGAACCUAAUUGAUUUGUUUAUUUCGAAGUGCACAUAUGAGGAUCGUGACUAUGUGACGCGUUAGUAUUCUUCUGUCGAUUCACUGAUGCGACACAUAUUUCUCGUUCUUUCUUCCUUGAGCUUUUUAAUUCGCUUAUCCUACAGUUUCUUUUUUUGUGCAAGAAUGCAUUUGCUUUGGGCAUAAAGCUUCUGAGAGUAAUGGUAUGUGUAUAACACAAGGAAGUUUAAGGCAACGAAACAGGUUCUGGGAUGCCCUGAGAUAAAAUAGCCUGCACGCGUGCUACACUCAUAUAUACAAGGUGGUUAAAUAGAAAUAUGCUUCUACUUGCAGUUGCAUGCUUUUCCUCCACUGCAAAGUGUAGUUAACCUUUAUUAUUACAUAUCAUGAUGAGGAUAGAUUAUUUCAAUUAUUAAUCCUGAACGAGGAACGUCUAGUAAGCGCGAUUCAUUAAAUUGCGCUGACUACGUCCCUGCCCUUUGUACACACCGCCCGUCGCUCCUACCGAUUAGAAGAUAUGACGAAUUGUUUGAACACGAAGAAAGGGGAUUAUUUAUCCUUUUUGCUCUGAAAAAAGUCGAAAAUCUUAUCUAUUAAAGGAGGGAGAACUCCUUAUAAGGUUUCCCUAGGUUCACCUACGGAUGGUGUUUCU
Molecule: ribosomal RNA, 2158 nt
Filed under: Plasmodium inui San Antonio 1
Lineage: Eukaryota; Apicomplexa; Aconoidasida; Haemosporida; Plasmodiidae
Description: 18S ribosomal RNA
Rfam family: Eukaryotic small subunit ribosomal RNA
Source: RNAcentral